This is a long non-coding RNA of Mus caroli (Ryukyu mouse), 413 nucleotides long. RefSeq lists it as uncharacterized. Lineage: Eukaryota; Metazoa; Chordata; Mammalia; Rodentia; Muridae. The record is from RefSeq and is a predicted model, not a curated record.
AACCCUGUCUGGAGUAAAUAAACAAGCAGGCAGAGUGAGACUACUUGACCCUUGACAUCAGUGCCAUCGGAGUCCAGAAGAGCGUGUCCGAUCCUGUGGAGUUGGAGUUUCAGGCAGUUGUAGAUUUUAUCCAGCUGGGAGCAGCCAAGAGUUUAUAUAAACAGCUCAGCAUUGCAAACCGAAGCCCAAAUACCAUGAGAAGCCAGAACCAAGAACACCAGAUACCCUUAGUAGGCACUCAGGAGCACCAGACCAUGUCUAGCUUAUUGGGCUUCUCCUCGGGCUAGUCCCUCUGGCCUCACUAGGUUCAAGUGAUGAAGCCAGGGUCGGCUCUGAGAUAACUAUUGUCGUGGCUAGACUUGCCACCCAGAUGGCUUCUAAGGUCCUAGAAUUCAGUCAGUCACCCCUUUUGC